AUUAUUUUGGCAGAAGAGUGCGUUAGAUUUAGAAUCUUUUUAUGUAAGUUUUGACUUACAAAUAAUA
Molecule: transfer RNA, 67 nt
Filed under: Strophosoma melanogrammum
Lineage: Eukaryota; Metazoa; Arthropoda; Insecta; Coleoptera; Curculionidae
Description: tRNA-Leu
Rfam family: tRNA
About the family: Transfer RNA (tRNA) molecules are approximately 80 nucleotides in length. Their secondary structure includes four short double-helical elements and three loops (D, anti-codon, and T loops). Further hydrogen bonds mediate the characteristic L-shaped molecular structure. tRNAs have two regions of fundamental functional importance: the anti-codon, which is responsible for specific mRNA codon recognition, and the 3' end, to which the tRNAs corresponding amino acid is attached (by aminoacyl-tRNA synthetases). tRNAs cope with the degeneracy of the genetic code in two manners: having more than one tRNA (with a specific anti-codon) for a particular amino acid; and 'wobble' base-pairing, i.e. permitting non-standard base-pairing at the 3rd anti-codon position.
Source: RNAcentral